Molecule: ribosomal RNA, 560 nt
Filed under: Fusarium avenaceum
Lineage: Eukaryota; Fungi; Ascomycota; Sordariomycetes; Hypocreales; Nectriaceae
Description: eukaryotic LSU rRNA
Rfam family: 5.8S ribosomal RNA (bases 192-345)
Source: RNAcentral
UAACAAGGUCUCCGUUGGUGAACCAGCGGAGGGAUCAUUACCGAGUUUACAACUCCCAAACCCCUGUGAACAUACCUUAAUGUUGCCUCGGCGGAUCAGCCCGCGCCCCGUAAAACGGGACGGCCCGCCAGAGGACCCAAACUCUAAUGUUUCUUAUUGUAACUUCUGAGUAAAACAAACAAAUAAAUCAAAACUUUCAACAACGGAUCUCUUGGUUCUGGCAUCGAUGAAGAACGCAGCAAAAUGCGAUAAGUAAUGUGAAUUGCAGAAUUCAGUGAAUCAUCGAAUCUUUGAACGCACAUUGCGCCCGCUGGUAUUCCGGCGGGCAUGCCUGUUCGAGCGUCAUUUCAACCCUCAAGCCCCCGGGUUUGGUGUUGGGGAUCGGCUCUGCCUUCUGGCGGUGCCGCCCCCGAAAUACAUUGGCGGUCUCGCUGCAGCCUCCAUUGCGUAGUAGCUAACACCUCGCAACUGGAACGCGGCGCGGCCAUGCCGUAAAACCCCAACUUCUGAAUGUUGACCUCGGAUCAGGUAGGAAUACCCGCUGAACUUAAGCAUAUCAA